Manihot esculenta (cassava) is the source of this 8862-nucleotide RNA transcript. It is a transcript of the gene named protein SABRE, with no coding region annotated. The transcript has 23 exons. NCBI's taxonomy places the organism in Eukaryota, Viridiplantae, Streptophyta, Magnoliopsida, Malpighiales, Euphorbiaceae. The record is from RefSeq and is a predicted model, not a curated record.
CCAAAACUCCUCAAGUAUAAAAAGAAAAAACCGCCGUCGAGUCGUUGACAAAAUCGUCCGAUCUCGGUUGACAGUACUCGUUCACCAUUAAAUCCUUUAACAAGGACAUCUCGAGCACGUCUCUCUAAAAGAAAAAUCGUUGCUUUCUACGCCCUCACCACACCAGAUUCGAAUCCACUUUUAUCUUUCUUUUCUUUUUCUUUUCUUUUUUUUUUUCCCCUUAAAAAAGGAAAAAAAAAAAAAGAAAAAGAAGGGAACAGUCUCUGAGCGUGCUCUCUCUCUAUCUCUGUAUGUGAUCAGCGAGGACAUCACUGAUCGGAUCUACGUUCUUAUAAAUGAAACGGACCCGAUCACCAUGCCUCGGAGUCUGUUUCCCGAUUCCUUGAAAGUGAACGUUGCAGGCCCCACCAAAUUUGAGGAAAAUCCCCUCUUCACUUGGUUCAAUUCCUUAGGGUUUUGUUUUCGCAUUUGGAAAUGCUUUUUGGGUUCUUGAGAAGUAGUUAUAUGCGGAGAAUGCGUUCCAUUUCAGUCGCUGGUUCUUUUUGGAUGAUUUGAUCGGGUUUCGGACUUGAUAAUUUCAACUCUAGAGACAAUGGCUGCCUCACCUGUGAAAUUCCUCUUCGGAUUCUUGAUGGUUUCCAUCACAUUGUGGAUGGUCUUCAUAUUUGCUUCUAGGUUGCUGGCUUGGAUUUUGAGCCGAAUUGUUGGAGCAUCUAUUGGAUUUCGGGUUGGAGGAUGGAAAUGUUUAAGGGAUGUCGUAGUGAAGUUUAAGAAGGGUGCUGUUGAAUCUAUAGCUGUUGGUGAAAUUAGACUAAGUGUACGCCAAUCCUUGGUCAAACUUGGGGCUGGUUUCUUUUCCAGGGAUCCAAAGCUGCAAGUUUUAAUAUGUGACCUGGAAGUUGUAAUGAGGUCUUCUAGCAAAGGCAUGCAGAAAAAUAAAACUCGAAAAGCUCGAACUUGCAAUUCAGGCCGGGGAAAGUGGAUGGUCUUAGCUAACAUAGCAAGAUUUUUGUCAGUUUCUGUUACAGAUUUGGUCGUAAAGACACCCAAGGCUAUGAUUGAAGUUAAGGAAUUGAGAUUGGAUAUAACGAAAGAUGGUGGAUCCAAGCCAAAUCUACUUUUUAAGCUACACAUAUUACCAAUUGUUAUUCACAUGGGUGAACCACGUGUUAAUUGUGACCAAUUAUCCAAUUUGGAUGGUGGGGCAUGCAUUUCUACAGGCGAGACAUCAUUUGGUGUGAGGGAAGGGCCCUAUGCUUCCUUCACCUGUGAAGAGUUUUCUCUCUCUUGUGAAUUUGGUCAUGAUAGGGAGGUAGGUGUAAUUAUCUGCAAUUUGGACAUUAACUGUGGUGAGGUCUUUGUGCACCUGAAUGAGAAGCUGCUUUCAAAAAAUAAGAUUUCAGAUGCUUCUCAGACAGAUAAAACAGUAGUCAAUUCUGCUGUUGUUAAAGAUCUGCAAAGAAAACAAUCAACACUGGUUGCAUUUAUAAAGUAUACCUCUAUGUUUCCUCAAAAGGUUAGCUUUGCUUUACCAAAAUUGGAUGUGAGGUUUUUUCAUCAGGAAUAUGGUCUUGUUAUUGAGAAUAAUAUCAUGGGCAUUAAGUUGAAGAGCAUCAAAUCCCAAUGCACUGAAGAAAUGGGAGAGAGUACUCGUCUUGAUGUUCAAAUGGAUUUCAGUGAGAUACAUCUUCUCAGAGAAGCUGGCACUUCUGUUAUGGAGAUAUUGAAAGUUGUUGUCGUCUCUUUUGUUUAUGUUCCAAUGGAGCCAACCUCACCGGUUAGAGCUGAAAUAGAUGUUAAGUUGGGAGGUACCCAGUGCAACAUUAUAAUGAGUAGGUUAAAGCCAUGGUUGCAAGUCCACUACUCAAAAAAGAAAAAAAUGGUUCUCCGAGAGGAAAUUCAUGCUCCUGUAAAAUCACAAUCAACUGCAUCCAAAGCCAUCAUGUGGACAUGUACUGUUUCAGCUCCUGAGAUGACAAUUGUUCUUUAUAGUAUCAAUGGGUUGCCUCUAUAUCAUUUAUGCUCGCAAUCAUCACAUGUUUUUGCAAAUAAUAUAUCAAGCAUGGGCACCACGAUACAUUUGGAGCUCGGUGAGCUGAACUUCCACAUGGCAGAUGAAUAUCAAGAAUGCUUGAAAGAAAGCCCUUUUGUUGUUGAAUCAAAUUCAGGUGCUUUAAUUCAUAUAGCAAGGGUUAGUUUAGAUUGGGGAAAAAAAGAUAGUGAAUCGUCUGAAGAAGAUGGUGCUAGAUGUAAAUUAGCUCUCUCCAUUGACGUCACUGGUAUGGGUAUUUAUUUUAACUUUAAACGUGUAGAAUCACUAGUAGUAACUGCCAUUUCCUUUCAGUCUCUCCUGAAAAGUCUAUCCAGUUCUGGCAAAAAAACAACAGAGAGCCAAAGUGGGAGAUCCUCUAAGCCAUCAGGAAAGGGGAUUCAAGUAUUGAAAUUUAAUUUGGAACGAUGUACUGUAAAUUUUUGUGGUGAAACAAGUUUGGAAAAUGCUGUUGUUGCUGAUCCAAAGCGUGUCAAUUAUGGAUCACAGGGUGGUCGAGUUGUAAUUAGUGUCUCAGAUGAUGGCAUGCCACGUACUGCAAGUGUGAUAUCCACAGUUUCUGAUGAUUGCAAGAAUUUGAACUAUUCGCUUUCUCUUGACAUAUUCCAUUUCACUUUGUGUGUGAACAAGGAGAACCAAACUACAGAGAUGGAACUUGAAAGAGCAAGGUCUAUUUAUCAGGAACAUUUGGAGGAACAUAGACCUGAUACAAAAGUAAAAUUGUUUGAAAUGCAGAAUGCAAAAUUUGUACGGCGCUCUGGUGGUCUUAAAGGGAUUGCUAUUUGCUCUCUUUUCAGUGCUACUGAAAUUGCUGUCAGGUGGGAGCCUGAUGCACAUUUAUCAUUGAUUGAACUGAUUCUGCAACUGAAGUUACUGGUACACAAGCAAAAGCUUCAGGAAAAUGGUACUGAACGUAGGGAAGAAGCCUCAAGCAUGAGACAUACUGAAUCAGGAAAUUUUGACAAGUCUAAGAAAAAGGAAAACAUUUUUGCUGUCGAUGUAGAAAUGCUGAAUAUAUCAGCUGGAGUUGGAGAUGGAGUUGAUGGAGUGGUGCAGCUUCAGUCAAUUUUUUCAGAGAAUGCCCGUAUAGGAGUACUUCUUGAAGGACUUAUGCUCAGUUUUAAUGGGGCCAGAGUAUUCAAGAGUGGUAGAAUGCAAAUUUCUCGCAUACCUAGUGCUUCUAGCAUUUCAUCUGAUUCAAAACUACCCUCAGCUAUCACAUGGGACUGGGUGAUUCAAGGGCUUGAUGUUCAUAUUAGAAUGCCAUACAGGUUGGAGUUGCGUGCCAUUGAUGAUUCAGUUGAAGAUAUGCUGCGGGCUUUGAAACUUGUUGCUGCUGCUAAAACACAACUCAUAUUUCCGAUGAAGAAAGAAAGCUCAAAGCCUAAAAAGUCUAGUUCAAUGAAAUUUGGAUGUGUGAAGUUUUGUAUACGUAAGCUAAUUGCUGAUAUUGAGGAAGAACCAAUCCAGGGUUGGCUUGAUGAGCACUACCAGCUGAUGAAGAGCGAGGCCUGUGAGCUGGCUGUCCGUCAGAAGUUUCUUGAUGAAUUUAUUUCCAAAUUUAGUAAUUGUUCUAAAACUGCGGAAACAAAUGAGUCUGCCACUGAAAGAAAAUUUAAUUAUAAUGGGGUUCAGAUUGAUGUACAAGAUCCUUCUGCAAUUCAGAAAAUGCAAGAAGAAAUUUACAAGCAAUCUUUUAGAUCAUAUUACCAGGCGUGCCAGAAGUUAGUACCUUCUGAAGGUUCAGGUGCCUGUAGGGAAGGGUUUCAAUCUGGUUUUAGGCCUAGCACUUCAAGGACAUCUCUUCUUUCCAUUUCUGCUAGAGAGCUGGAUGUGAGCUUGACAAGGAUUGAUGGUGGAGAUGAUGGGAUGAUAGAGGUUCUGAAAAAGCUGGAUCCUGUCUGUCGUGAAGAGGAGAUACCAUUUUCCAGACUCUAUGGGAGUAACAUUCUAUUGUGUGCUAGCAGUCUUGUUAUUCAGCUAAGAAAUUACACGUUUCCUCUUUUUGCUGCUACUGCUGGUAAAUGUGAAGGCCGUGUUGUGCUAGCACAGCAGGCAACUUGCUUUCAGCCCCAAAUUUACCAAGAUGUCUUCAUUGGGAGGUGGAGAAAGGUGCGCUUACUCCGUUCAGCUACUGGCACAACUCCUCCAACAAAAUCAUACUUCGAUUUGCCUCUGUUUUUUCAGAAAGCUGAAGUAUCAUAUGGAGUCGGAUAUGAGCCGUCUUUUGCUGAUGUGAGCUAUGCUUUUACAGUUGCUCUUCGUAGGGCAAAUCUUAGUGUCAGAAAUCCUGGUCCUCUAGUUCAGCCACCAAAAAAGGAGCGCAGUUUACCAUGGUGGGAUGAUAUGAGAAAUUAUAUUCAUGGAAAUAUCACCUUAGGAUAUUCUAAAAGUAUAUGGCAUAUUCUUGCAACAACUGAUCCUUAUGAAAGGCUUGACAAGCUUCAAAUUACAUCUGGUUCCAUGGAGAUCCAGCAGUCAGAUGGCCGUAUUUAUAUUUCUGCAAAAGAUUUUAAGAUUUUCUUGAGCAGUUUGGAGAGGUUGGCAAAUAACUGUGGCUUAAAACUUCCUACUGGUGUGUAUGGUGCUUUCCUUGAAGCCCCAGUCUUUAUUCUUGAAGUCACAAUGGAUUGGGACUGUGAUUCUGGCACUCCAUUGAAUCAUUACCUAUUUGCACUCCCCAAUGAAGGGAAGCCUCGUGAAAAAGUUUUUGAUCCCUUCAGGUCUACAUCUCUCUCACUUCGGUGGAAUUUCUCUCUACGACCCUCUGUUCCCUCAUGUGAGAAUCAAUCCUCUUCUUCCUACAUGAGUGAUAGCACUGUGUAUAAUCCACCUCACAAGCCUGGAAAUGUUUCAAUUGUUCCAACAGUAUUGAAUGUCGGUGCCCAUGAUUUUGCAUGGUUAAUUAAAUUUUGGAAUUUGAAUUAUGUUCCUCCUCACAAAUUACGCUAUUUCUCCCGGUGGCCUCGUUUUGGAGUUCCCCGAAUUCCCAGAUCAGGCAAUUUGUCACUGGAUAGAGUAAUGACAGAAUUUUUCCUUCGCAUAGAUGCUACACCUGCUCGUAUAAAACAUAUGCCACUAGAUGAUGAUGAUCCAGCAAAAGGACUUACUUUUAAUAUGACAAAGUUGAAAUAUGAAAUCUGUUUCAGUCGGGGUAAGCAGAAGUACAAUUUUGAAUGCAAGCGAGACACUCUUGAUCUUGUUUACCAGGGUGUGGACCUUCACAUGCCUAAGGCCAUCUUAGAUAAAGAAGAUUCUACCAGUGUUGCAAAAGUAGUUCAAAUGACAAAGAAAAAUUGCCAGCCUUCAGGUAUGGAAAGAGUUCCCAGUGAAAAACACAACAAUAUCAGUGCUUGCACUGAGAAGCAUCGGGAUGAGGGAUUUCUUUUAUCAUGUGAUUAUUUUACAAUCAGAAGGCAGGCACCAAAGGCUGAACCUGCAAGGUUAUUGACGUGGCAAGAGGCUGGGAGAAGAAAUCUUGAGAUGACAUAUGUGAGGUCUGAGUUCGAAAAUGGGAGUGAGAGUGAUGAUCACACAAGAUCUGACCCAAGUGAUGAUGAUGGAUACAAUGUGGUAAUUGCUGACAAUUGUCAGAGAGUUUUUGUUUAUGGUCUCAAGCUUUUAUGGAAUAUAGAGAAUAGGGAUGCUGUUUGGUCCUGGGUUGGUGGAUUAUCCAAAGCAUUUGCACCUCCCAAGCCUUCUCCUUCUCGGCAGUAUGCACAGAGGAAGUUACUUGAGGAGAAACAAUCACAUGCUGAAAUUAAAGUGAACCAAGAUGAUAUAUCUAAACCCCCUUCUACCAGCUAUAAUGUUGAUUUCCCUUCUCGAAAUACAGAGACUUCAGGAUCUCUCUCAUCUCCAUCACAUUCAACUAAAAUGGAGAAUUCAUCUUCUGCUGUUGCUGUAUUUCCAGCAACAAAUGGAAGCAUAGAUGAUUCUGAGGAGGAAGGAACUCGCCAUUUCAUGGUGAAUGUUAUUGAGCCUCAAUUCAAUCUGCAUUCAGAAGAAGCCAAUGGUAGAUUCCUGCUUGCUGCUGUUAGUGGGCGUGUUUUAGCCCGAUCAUUUCACUCUGUCCUUCAUGUUGGUUAUGAGAUGAUCGAACAAGCACUGGGCAGUGGAGAUGUACAACUUUCUGACUCUGUACCUGAAAUGACAUGGAAGCGCAUGGAGUUCUCUGUGAUGUUGGAGCAUGUGCAGGCUCAUGUUGCACCAACAGAUGUUGAUCCUGGAGCUGGACUGCAGUGGCUCCCAAAAAUUCGAAGAAGCUCCCCUAAAGUAAAACGCACUGGUGCUCUACUUGAAAGAGUGUUUAUGCCUUGUGAUAUGUACUUCCGGUAUACAAGACACAAAGGCGGGACUCCUGACCUGAAGGUGAAGCCCCUGAAAGAGCUCACUUUCAAUACACGUAAUAUAACAGCAACAAUGACAUCUCGCCAGUUUCAGGUUAUGCUGGACGUGUUGACCAAUCUCCUUUUUGCACGGCUUCCCAAACCUCGAAAGAGUAGUCUGUCAUUUCCAGCUGAAGACGAUGAGGAUGUUGAAGAGGAGGCUGAUGAGAUGGUGCCUGAUGGUGUGGAAGAGGUAGAACUUGCUAAAAUUGAACUUGAACAGAAAGAACGGGAGCAGAAGUUGCUUCUUGAUGACAUAAGGAGAUUGUCUCUUAAUGGUGAUGCUUCUGGGGACCUGUCAAGAAAGGAAAGUGAAUUGUGGAUGAUCACUGGGGGAAGAUCCAAUCUGGUCCAAGGGCUGAAGAGAGAGCUUGUAAAUGCAAAAAAGUUUAGGAAGGCAGCAUCUGGAUCAUUAAGGCUGGCUUUGCAGAAAGCUGCACAGCUACGUCUGAUGGAGAAGGAGAAGAACAAAAGUCCAUCCUAUGCAAUGCGCAUAUCUUUGCAAAUCAACAAAGUUGUCUGGAGCAUGCUUGUAGAUGGUAAAUCUUUUGCUGAGGCUGAGAUAAAUGACAUGAUCUUUGAUUUUGACCGGGAUUAUAAGGAUGUUGGUGUUGCUCUAUUUACAACAAAAUAUUUUGUUGUGAGAAACUGCCUGCCAAAUGCCAAGUCUGAUAUGGUUCUAUCAGCAUGGAAUCCACCACCAGAUUGGGGAAAAAAAGUCAUGCUUCGGGUAGAUGCAAAGCAAGGAGCUCCAAGGGAUGGAAAUUCCCAUAUUGAACUCUUCCAGGUAGAGAUUUAUCCCCUUAAGAUUCAUUUGACAGAGACGAUGUACAGGAUGAUGUGGGAGUAUUUCUUUCCAGAAGAAGAACAAGAUUCACAAAGGCGGCAGGAAGUUUGGAAAGUUUCAACUACUGCUGGUGCAAAACGUGUAAAGAAAGGUUCAUCAACCCAGGAUGCUUGUUCAUCAUACAGCCAUGCAACAAAAGAUUCUGAUGGCACAUCCAAACCCAUCGUUGGUUCAGGCCAAGAUUUGAGAAGAACAUCUUCUUUUGACAGAUCAUGGGAAGAGACACUUGCAGAAUCUGUUGCUGCUGAACUUGUCUUGCAGGCUCAUUCAUCUAGUAUGUCUUCUUCAAAAGCUGACCCACUUGGCUGUAAUGAACAACCAGAUGAAUCCUCUAAAAGUAAAGCAAAAGAGUCCAAGCUUGUGAAGUCUGGUCGUUCAUCUCAUGAAGGCAAAAAGAUUGGGAAGUCAAAUGAAGAGAAGAGGUCCCGACCUCGAAAAGUAAUGGAGUUUCACAAUAUAAAGAUAAGUCAGGUCGAGCUACAAAUUACUUAUGAAAGCUCGAGGUUUAAUCUGCAUGAGCUUAAGUUGCUAAUGGAUACGUUCCAUCGUGUUGAGUUCACUGGGACUUGGAGGAGGCUGUUCUCACGAGUAAAGAAGCAUGUUGUAUGGGGAACACUUAAGUCAGUGACAGGAAUGCAGGGCAAGAAAUUCAAAGAUAAAGCACAUAGUCAACGGGAAUCCAAUGGAGCUGGUGUUCCUGAUAUUGAGCUUAACUUUAGCGACAAUGAUGGUCAGCCAGGGAAAUCAGAUCAGUAUCCAAACUGGCUUAAGCGUCCAAGUGAUGGAGCAGGUGAUGGAUUUGUAACUUCCAUAAGGGGUCUUUUCAAUACUCAACGCCGCAAGGCCAAGGCAUUUGUGCUGCGAACUAUGAGGGGUGAAGCAGAGAAUGAUUUCCAUGGGGAAUGGAGUGAAAGUGAUGCUGAGUUCUCUCCCUUUGCUAGGCAACUUACAAUAACAAAAGCUAAGAAGCUUAUCAGGCGGCACACAAAGAAAUUCCGCUCGAGAGGACAGAAAGGUUCGUCCUCUGUACAAAGAGAUUCACUUCCUUCAUCUCCAAGGGAAACAACUCCAUUUGAGCCAUUUGAAAGCGAUUCAUCUAGUGAAUCUUCGCCGUAUGAGGAUUUUCACGAGCAACUCGAAUUCCAGUCACUUAAAGGGGACUAAGGCUUUCAGACACGAUCCAUAUUGGCUGAGUCGAUCAGGGGUAGUUAUGGAAUUUGUUUCUCAGCCACCACCUGUGAUGGAUGCUUUGGAAUUAAAACGCGCGGAGGCAUCCUAUGAAAGAGCGUGUUAAAGGAACACAUGGAUCAAGAGUUGGAGCAUGAGUAAGCUUUCAAAAGGCAUCCCAGGAUGAAUCCAUUCCACAGGGCCCCUAGUCUUUCGGGAAGGUUUGCAGGAUCAAAGUUAGCUCGGGAAGUCGAUUGAGUUGCUGGUAUAGCUUAUUGUAAUAGUAUAGCUAUGGACAUGUAUUAAUUUGUCGAUUACAAUUGUGCUUCCCUGCUUCAUGAUCCUUUUAUGUAAAAAUUUUUAAGUAUAAGUUAUAUUUGAAUCGAGCUUGAAGCAUGUUAUGUUGAUCA